CCUUCGAUAGAUCAGUUGGUAGAGCGGAGAACUGUAGAUCCUUAGGUCGCUGGUUCGAAUCCGGCUCGAAGGA
Molecule: transfer RNA, 73 nt
Filed under: Saccoglossus kowalevskii
Lineage: Eukaryota; Metazoa; Hemichordata; Enteropneusta; Harrimaniidae
Description: tRNA-Tyr
Rfam family: tRNA
About the family: Transfer RNA (tRNA) molecules are approximately 80 nucleotides in length. Their secondary structure includes four short double-helical elements and three loops (D, anti-codon, and T loops).
Source: RNAcentral